This 62-nucleotide transfer RNA is filed under the name marine eukaryotic metagenome. It matches the Rfam family "tRNA", at positions 6 to 65 of the family's 71-position model. From Rfam's summary of the family: Transfer RNA (tRNA) molecules are approximately 80 nucleotides in length. The record is from RNAcentral.
GCGUAGCUCAAUGGUAGAGCAAUCGGCUGUUAACCGAUAGGUUGUAAGUUCGAAUCUUACCG